ACAGAGGGGGCAAGCGUUGUUCGGAAUCACUGGGCUUAAAGGGCGCGUAGGCGGGCUGUCAAGUCUGGGGUGAAAUCCCACGGCUCAACCGUGGAACUGCCUUAGAUACUGACGGCCUCGAGGGAGAUAGGGGCGAGCGGAACUGUGAGUGGAGCGGUGAAAUGCGUUGAUAUUCACAGGAACUCCGGUGGCGAAGGCGGCUCGCUGGAUCUUUUCUGACGCUGAGGCGCGAAAGCUAGGGGAGCAAACGGGA
RNAcentral lists this ribosomal RNA (253 nucleotides) under uncultured prokaryote. RNAcentral's name for it is "partial 16S ribosomal RNA". It matches the Rfam family "Bacterial small subunit ribosomal RNA", at positions 525 to 777 of the family's 1533-position model. The record is from RNAcentral.